Molecule: ribosomal RNA, 251 nt
Filed under: uncultured prokaryote
Description: partial 16S rRNA
Rfam family: Bacterial small subunit ribosomal RNA
Source: RNAcentral
ACGUAGGGGGCGAGCGUUGUCCGGAAUUAAUGGGCGUAAAGCGCACGUAGGCGGGCUGUUAAGUCGGCCGUGAAAGGCACUGGCUUAACCGGUGUUUGUCGGUCGAUACUGGCGGUCUUGAGUAUGGGAGAGGGAACUGGAAAUCCCGGUGUAGCGGUGAAAUGCUUAGAUAUCGGGAGGAACACCAGUGGCGAAGGCGGCUUCCUGGCCCAUGUCUGACGCUGAGGUGCGAAAGCUGGGGGAACGAACGG